GAGUUUGAUCUGGCUCAGGACGAACGCUGGCGGCGUGCCUAAUACAUGCAAGUCGAGCGGAUUGAUGGGAGCUUGCUCCCUGAUAUCAGCGGCGGACGGGUGAGUAACACGUGGGUAACCUGCCUGUAAGACUGGGAUAACUCCGGGAAACCGGGGCUAAUACCGGAUAACUCAUUUCCUCGCAUGAGGAAAUGUUGAAAGAUGGCUUCUUGCUAUCACUUACAGAUGGACCCGCGGCGCAUUAGCUAGUUGGUGAGGUAACGGCUCACCAAGGCAACGAUGCGUAGCCGACCUGAGAGGGUGAUCGGCCACACUGGGACUGAGACACGGCCCAGACUCCUACGGGAGGCAGCAGUAGGGAAUCUUCCGCAAUGGACGAAAGUCUGACGGAGCAACGCCGCGUGAGUGAUGAAGGUUUUCGGAUCGUAAAGCUCUGUUGUUAGGGAAGAACAAGUGCCGUUCAAAUAGGGCGGCACCUUGACGGUACCUAACCAGAAAGCCACGGCUAACUACGUGCCAGCAGCCGCGGUA
Molecule: ribosomal RNA, 531 nt
Filed under: Rossellomorea vietnamensis
Lineage: Bacteria; Bacillati; Bacillota; Bacilli; Caryophanales; Bacillaceae
Description: bacterial SSU rRNA
Rfam family: Bacterial small subunit ribosomal RNA
Source: RNAcentral